RNAcentral lists this ribosomal RNA (259 nucleotides) under uncultured bacterium. Its description in RNAcentral is "partial 16S ribosomal RNA". It matches the Rfam family "Bacterial small subunit ribosomal RNA", at positions 524 to 777 of the family's 1533-position model. The record is from RNAcentral.
UACGUAGGUGGCGAGCGUUGUCCGGAAUUACUGGGGUGUAAAAGCGCGUGUAGGCGGCAGGCCAAGUCGGUGGUGAAAGCGCCCGGCUCAACUGGGCGAGGUCCAUGGAAACUGGUCAGCUGGAGGACGGUAGAGGCGAGUGGAAUUCCCCGGUGUAGUGGUGAAAUGCGUAGAGAUCGGGGAGGAACACCUGUGGCGAAGGCGGCUCGGCUGGGCCGGUCCUGACGCUGAAACGCGAAGGCGUGGGGAGCGAACGGGG